GAUACCCAGUCUACACGCUUAGAGAGUACUUAGCAACAGCCCGUCCACGAGGGAGUAGUGUAGUGUCUACCGAGUCACAGACACCAGUUGUCACAAGCAAUGAGGAUGAAUCCGGGGAACUGGCUUCCCUUAUAGAGGAGGAGGUGGUGAUUAGUGCGAGUGGUGGGGUGCAGGGAGCGAGUGGUGAAAGUGAUGUGACUGGGGCCGAGGCGGCUGCGACCACUGUUGAAGAAGAGGAGGAAAUAGGAGACGUUUCCAACAUCUCCGUCAUCAUGUCAGAGCCGGCUGGUGAUAACUUGCUGUAUACACUAGACUAGAUCAGACUUCUGGAUAGUCAGAUAAAAGCUCGGUUUUUUGAUGAAGGAUGACUCCUCGUACCUUUCAUCUGGUGACACUGAUGAUCGCCUCCAGACACUGAUUGAUGAUAGAGCAUAAUUCCACGAGGCACUGAUGAUACGACUGUACUGUCUUCCUCCGAGUCCAUGUCAUCAAGAUCUUCUGCAUGGCCAGAUGUCUUUUGUGUACCCUGUUUCUCCUAUAACGCAGAGAUAUAACUUGACCAGGGCUAAUGAGACACUUCCUUGUGGGCACUAUCUUUUACUUUAUUAAUUAAGAAGUGUGCACUUGUUCACUCCCCCUGUCUUUUAUUGAAGUACCAUUUUAUGAAUGUUCAAUCCAUGUUUGUGUGUGUAUGCAUGUGUGUAAGAGAUUAUGCAAUUAUUUUCUUUAAAAAUACAAAAUUCAUUUUGCUACAUAAAUGUGUAUUUUUUCUGAUUCUUUAUUCCUAAAUUCCCAGAAACCAUACCUACAGAAACCGGCCAAAUCAGUAAUUUUAGAGAUCUUUUUAUUCUCUAUGCUUGGUUGGUCAGGGUGAGUCUCGGGUGGGAAACCCUAUGUUCAUUGUUUCUAUGUUUUGGCCGGGUAUGGUUCUCAAUCAGGGACAGCUGUCUAUCGUUGUCUCUGAUUGGGAAUAAUACUUAGGCAGCCUUUUUUCCUUUUUUAUUUGUGGGUAGUUGUCUUUGUUUGAUGCAGGUAUAGCCUCUCGGAGCUUCACGGUCGUUUUUGUUGUUUUGUUGGCAACAUAUAAAGAAAAAAUGUACGCUUACCACGCUGCACCUUGGUCCGGUCAUUUUCAAGACAGCGAUUGUGACAAUUCAAGGGUUUUUCUUUAUUUGUACUAUUUUCUACAUUGUAGAAUAAUAUCAAAGGCAUCAAAACUAUGAAAUAACACAUGGAAUCAUGUAGUAACCAAAAAAGUUUGAAACAAAUCAAAAUAUCUUUUAUAUUUUAGAUUAUCUAAAGUAGCCACCCUUUGCCUUGAUGACAGCUUUGCACACUCUUGGCAUUCUCUCAACUAGCUCCACCUGGAAUGCUUUUCCAACAGUCUUCAAGGAGUUCCCACAUGUGCUGAGUUCUUUUUGGCUGUGUUUCCUUCACUCUGUGGUCCAACUCAUCCCAAACCAUCUCAAUUGGGUUGAGGUCGGGUGAUUGGGGAGGCCAGGUCAUCUGAUGCAGCACUCCGUCACUCUCCUUCUUGGUCAAAUAGCCUUUACACAGCCUGAAGUUGUGUUGGGUCAUUGUCCUGUUGAAAAAAGAUAUAUAGCCCCACUAAGUGCAAACCUGAUGGUGUAAAGCUGCAGAAUGCUGUGGUAUUCAUGCUGGUUAAGUGUGCCUUGAAUUCUAAAUAAAUCAGUGUCACCAGCAAAGCACUCCCACACCAUCAGACCUCCUCAUGCUUCACAGAGGGAACCACACAUGCGGAGAUCAUCCGUUUACCUACUCUACGUCUCAAAAAGACACGUUGGUUGGAACAGAAAAUCUCAAAUUUGGCCUCCAAGAGCAAGGGACAGAUUUACACCUGUCGAAUGCCGAUUGCUCAUGUUUCUUGGCCCAAGCGAGUCUCUUCUUGUUAUUGGUGUCCUUUGGUAGUGGUUUCUUUGUAGCAAUUCGACCAUGAAGGCCUGAUUCAUGCAGUCGCCACUGAACAGUUGAUGUUGAGAUGUGACUGUUAAUUGAACUCUUGUUAAGCAUUUAUUUGGGCUGCAAUUUCUGAGAGUAACUCUAAUGAAUGUAUCAUCUGCAGCAGAGGUAUCUUUCUGUGGCGGUCCUCGUGAGAGCCAGUUUCACCAUUGCAAAUGAUGGUUUUUGCGACUCUACUUCAAAGUUAUUGAAAUGUUCCUGUUUGAUUGAUCUUCAUGUCUUAAAGUAAUGAUGAACUUUUAACAAGGCACCUGUUCAUUGAAAUGCGUUCCAGGUGACGACCACAUGAUGCUGGUUGAGAGAAUGUCAAGAGUGUGCUAAGCUGUUAUCAAGGCAAAGGGUGGCUCCUUUGAAGAACCUCAAAAUAACAUUUUGGUUACUACAUGAUUCCAUAUUUGUUAUUUCAUCAUUUGAAAUAUUCACUAUUAUUCUACAAUGUUGAAAUAAAAACCCUUGCAUGAGUAGGUGUCCAUACUUUUGACUGGUACUUUAAGUCAAAUAGCUUGAACUGGCAUAAUUCAUUCAUUUUGGAGGUAUUUGAUUCAGUUGUGUUUGAUAAACAUUAAUACUUUUUUGUCAAUCUGACAACUAUUUUGAAUGAUUAUUUAUAAAUCCAAUCCUGUUUAAAUAACUCAAGUAAAUUAACUAAAUCUGUAAUAAUCAUUAAGUAAAAAAAUACAUUUAAUCACUUUUUUCCAUUAUUGAUUUCAAAAUUGAUAGAGGAGCUUCAAAGGACAUUUCUUCUGGUAUUUUCUAGUCUUAGCUUGAUGGAUACAGCGUACACACUGCUGAUGAGGGCGUUGGCUGUGCCUGGACAACAGCAGUUCCUAUAGUAUACGGCUGGACGGGGUUGAUUUGACUGGGAUCCAAUAACAUUGCCUGCUGAGGCAGGUGGUAACAGAUCUGAUCAUCUUGUCAGCAACCUAUCGGGCAUAUGUGUCCAAUAAGACACACACUGACCUGUUGGGGAGGUGCAGGAGGGUGAGGGGAUGCUGCUGUCUUUCAAGACCCCAGAACUGGGGGAGUUCACGGCAAAGAUAAGAAAGGCGAUGUACAUGAUAUGUGUGAAGGUGUCGCAUGUGUCCUCCUUGGAAGUGGUUAGAUCAUUGAGGAAGGCCAGUUUGUCUGAACUAAGCACUUCCCUUCUCCGAAAGGCUUCUGACGGUCUUUAUUAAACAAACUGCCAAAUGAUAAACGGACAGCUGACCUCUAAUGGGGGAUACUACAUGAGGUGAUAGACACCACCUGGAUCCGAGCUUUGGGGAGGAUGAGUCCAUUCUGUGGCUUCUCUGAGUCGCUAGCUCAGACAUCUUUUUGUACAAUGUCCAAAACUGGCGGGGCUGUUUGCGCUGUUAACCAGCUGUUUUUUUCCUUGGAGGAGGUUUUCUCUUCCUGCCUUUUUGUUUUUGGACCAUAGUAUAGUUUUAGGGGAGUGGUAGUCCUACUUCAUUUCAUAUCAGGAGCAGCCAAGCUAGUGAUCUGGAAGACCAGGAGAAAUUGCAUACAGGGACAUGGGUCUGUGGACGUGCUGGCCAUGCUCAGGGGGAUUACUAUGUUAGUGUUUCCUUAAUUUUCACAGUAACCUGUACAAAUGUAAGGGAUAGUGUACCAUUUGGUCAGUCAGAAAUCAAAAUAACACAUCUGGAGACCAUCUCCUCAUCUCUGCCCUACUUUCUCUGCUUGGUGCUCUGAAAGGGUGUGAUCUCCAGUCUAUUGUGUGUCUAUCCAAGUUAACCGUCCUUCUAUGACUUUAAACUUAAAAUCUCGGGGAAAAGCAGUUGUGGGAACUGAAGAUAUAUUUCUUUGGACAGAUGACUGACGUUAAUUCCAGUUGUACAGAGGUAAAAUACAGUGUGCAUUUUAGAACACCCUCAACCUCAAGCCUCAGGUCGUACCCGUACACCAUAACUCAGGUGUCCUAAAAUGGACACAAUAGUAGAGUAGAUUCCUGAAUCCCACUAACUUCAUGUUGCUGUGUUAUGAGGUUAGCUAGCAGGUUGGUACUUGACACACAUAUCAUGCCAAUAGAUAUAGCUGCCUAAUUCUGUCUUGGCAUUGGAUUGACACUGGGCUGGGGCGUGUAUGGAGGUGCACACACUGUCCUCUACUAUUUAACACCAUGUGCCUCUACUCAUAAGUGAUAGUCGCUGGCAUUUUAUCAUAGCUACUGUAUAUGAGGUGUUGACAUGCACUAUGCCACAAAUUAUUAGAUUCAACAGACAACGAAUAUGGCUGGUAUGACACUGGCAUAAUGUAGCUGGCACUCAGUUUAUACAGUCAUGAUGGCUUAAUACAUAGCUGGCUAUCAGUGUCUGGGGGGAGACGUGGGGCAUUUCACACAUACUGUACAGUGGACUAGAUACUGGAGAGGAUAGUGGUCAUAUUCUUGUUAUAGGUCAUCAUUUGGUACUGAUCUAGGGAAAUGAGCCACCUCACGCUACAGAAACAACAUAUAGGCUCCUGUGGGCCAUUCUGGCUCGGUCAAGGCUUACUUUAGGACACAGAGAUGUGUGUGGAAUGGGUAUGUGCUAUGGGUUUCAGUUCAUGAAUGUGUACUAAUGGUAGCUCUCUACAAUGAGGACUCAUUAGGGUACUACUGGGUUGAGUGUGUUCUGCCAAUUAAGUAACACUUUAAUUAUAAAUUAGAGAACAUUUUGGAGUGUUUCCUCCGUCUAAUUAUUUGAUGAUUGCAAACCAGACUAGCACAUUAACAGUUUUUAAACAUACCGUGUACAUUCUUCAUGGCACUGGAAAGAUAGACUAUACCCUUUGUAUUACUAUGAUACCUAAGCCAAUAUAUGGGUUGUAAGAUGGCAGUCUAAUGGCACCCCUCCAGGCCAGAUUAACGCCUUCCGAAAGCCUUCCAAAUGUCACAAACUUUAAUUCCUGGGGUCUCUGAGACUGGACCCUGACCCACGCCCCACAACCCCCAAACACCCAACGGGCUAAUCAGAGUCAUUACCGCCCCCAGUCGUCAACGACAACAGCCUGUCAUGAUAAGGUUUGUUCCUAAAACUAGCCUGUAAUUGGAUGAUUGGAUUAGGAAGUGGAUAGGAGGGUAAUGGGAUACUGCCCAUAAUGAUGUGUGGCCAUGGUAGCAGCGUAAGGGGCUUUUUAAAAUGUAUUUUUAAUUUAACCUUUAUUUAACUAGGCAAGUCAGUUUAGCCUAGUCUGUGAUGAAUCUGAAGAUUUGGCAUCAUAAAUUAAAAUGAUUUGCGCUAGAAUGGAUUGAGUGAGCCACUUAGCAUCUGUCAGUCUGCCCAUAUGCCACAGAGAUGAACUACAGAAAUGUUUUCUCCUCCUCGCUUGCCCGCCACUCCUCGGAAAGUGUCAUUAGGGGGAUAGGGAGAGAGAAAGAGCGAGAGAAAGAGAUAGCGAGAGAAAGGAAAAACAGGGUGAUGUGGUUAAAACUUCUUCAGGAUCGGUGUCCCUUCCACAGGACGGUUGAGCUAACGUAGGCUAAUGGGAUUAGCAUAAGGUUGUAAGUAACAAGACAUUUCCCCAGGACAUAGACAUAUCUGAUAUUGGCAGAAAGUUUACAUUUGUGUUAAUCUAACUGCACUGUCCAAUUUACAGUAGCUAUUACAGUGAAAUAAUACCAUGCUAUUGUUUGAGGAGAGUGCACAAUGUUGAACAUGAAAAGUUAUUAAUAAACAACUUAGGCACAUUUGGGAAGUCUUGAUGCACAAUUUUGAACAGAAAUGCAAUGGUUCAUUGGAUCAGUCUGAAACUUUGCACAUACACUGUUACUAUCUAGUGGCCAAAAUCUAAAUUGCACCUCUGCUGGAAUAAUAUAUUAUGGCCUUUCUCUUGCAUUAAAAUUAAAUUAAAAUGAAAAAGAAUGUUUUUUUUUCUUCUUUGUAUUAUCUUUGCCAGAUCUAUAUUGUUAUAUUCUCCUACAUUCUUUUCACAUUUCCACAAACUUCAAAGUGUUUCCUUUCAAAUGGAACCCAGAAUAUACAUAUCCCUGCUUCAGUGCCUGAGCUACAGGCAGCUAGAUUUUUGGUAUGUCAUUUUAGGGUCCAUAAGGCUCUAUUCUAAAGUAGUGCACUGUACAGCGUAUAAUUGUGGGGUGCCAUUUGGCAUGCAGUUCUGUUUUUUAACAGAAAUUCAGUUCAGCAUAACCUUGUGUGAAACACCAGCCAAAUGUUAACCACAGGCCACAUAAAAAUGGUACAGCUGAUGUUUGUUUCUUCAAGGAUGAAUGCUGCAGGAAACUUGGAGUGUGUUUCAUAUGGUACUGUAUGUCAAGUCUAUUCAGGUGCUGAAGGUGCUUUUGGAGGGUCUCCUUGCUAAGCCAAAGCAAGCUGCAUGGUUGACUUGGGAAUGUAAGAAAACAUUACAGACCAACAACCACAAAAAUACUACAGUACAACUGUAUAAGGACACACAGGCACUGCCUAUGAGUGUAUCAGUACACAAUACAUGACAGCAAUAGAACAUUUUCCUGAAAAACAAUGUUAUGAUUUAGUCCCACUUGUUACAUCACCCUCUUCUCUUUCUCUCUCUCUCUCUCUCUCUCUCUCUCUCUCUCUCUGAUCGGUUGAGUGGAGACAGGUGUGCUGGAAGCGGAGCAGAUUCCCACCAGCUGCAACCUGUUCCAUAAUCAAGAACCUUACAGAUACUCAGCCCUGACACCUCCACACUGCCAGAUCGUAGCAUCUACUCAUCCCAUCUGCUCUGACUCUGGUACCUGUCUCCUCAGUCCUGCUUACCUGCCCUGGAUCCCCGCUUCACUGCUUCAUUGGAUUCUGCUCCAGAUCUGUUUACCUGGUUCCUAAUCUCCUUGCCCCCAGCCUCAGUCCGGAAUCCCUACUACCUGCCUGAGAUUCCCAUGGACUGCACCUCAUCUCCUCUCCUGCUUUUCAAUAAAUACAUUGGUUACCUA
This is a long non-coding RNA of Oncorhynchus nerka (sockeye salmon), 6868 nucleotides long. RefSeq lists it as uncharacterized. The record is from RefSeq and is a predicted model, not a curated record. NCBI's taxonomy places the organism in Eukaryota, Metazoa, Chordata, Actinopteri, Salmoniformes, Salmonidae. The transcript is spliced from 3 exons.